This is a long non-coding RNA of Hippopotamus amphibius kiboko, 353 nucleotides long. RefSeq lists it as uncharacterized. The record is from RefSeq and is a predicted model, not a curated record. The transcript is spliced from 4 exons. Lineage: Eukaryota; Metazoa; Chordata; Mammalia; Artiodactyla; Hippopotamidae.
AUGAAGUUGGAAAGACAACAGUUUCUGGAAGAAAAGGAUUUUACACCAAGCCUCACAGAUAAUUGUGGUAUCUUUCAUCUUGUGUUUUCCUUCAUCCCACUCUAACAAACAUCCAAGAAGGAAAAGAUGAUCUGUGUCGACCUGAAAACAAGCUAGCCUUUUUUCUCCAUUACUGCCCUAAAGAGAUACCGUAGCAUACAGAAGCCAAUUGCACUUCGCUGGAUGGCACGCGUGGCACACAUGAGGAGUAUACCACAGGAAGUUCAUUCUGCAUGGAGUUCGGUUUUUGAACCUCAAGAGAAACUGCUUGGAUGAACAAUUUUACCACCAGGAGAAACAAUGGACUAUAACCC